CCUGGCUCAGGACGAACGCUGGCGGCGCGCCUAACACAUGCAAGUCGAACGAGAGAGAGGAAGCUUGCUUCCUCAAUCGAGUGGCGAACGGGUGAGUAACGCGUGAGGAACCUGCCUCAAAGAGGGGGACAACAGUUGGAAACGACUGCUAAUACCGCAUAAGCCCACGGGUCGGCAUCGACCAGAGGGAAAAGGAGCAAUCCGCUUUGAGAUGGCCUCGCGUCCGAUUAGCUAGUUGGUGAGGUAAUGGCCCACCAAGGCAACGAUCGGUAGCCGGACUGAGAGGUUGAACGGCCACAUUGGGACUGAGACACGGCCCAGACUCCUACGGGAGGCAGCAGUGGGGAAUAUUGCACAAUGGGGGAAACCCUGAUGCAGCGACGCCGCGUGGAGGAAGAAGGUCUUCGGAUUGUAAACUCCUGUUGUUGAGGAAGAUAAUGACGGUACUCAACAAGGAAGUGACGGCUAACUACGUGCCAGCAGCCGCGGUAAAACGUAGGUCACAAGCGUUGUCCGGAAUUACUGGGUGUAAAGGGAGCGCAGGCGGGAAGACAAGUUGGAAGUGAAAUCUAUGGGCUCAACCCAUAAACUGCUUUCAAAACUGUUUUUCUUGAGUAGUGCAGAGGUAGGCGGAAUUCCCGGUGUAGCGGUGGAAUGCGUAGAUAUCGGGAGGAACACCAGUGGCGAAGGCGGCCUACUGGGCACCACUGACGCUGAGGCUCGAAAGUGUGGGUAGCAAACAGGAUUAGAUACCCUGGUAGUCCACACCGUAAACGAUGAUUACUAGGUGUUGGAGGAUUGACCCCUUCAGUGCCGCAGUUAACACAAUAAGUAAUCCACCUGGGGAGUACGACCGCAAGGUUGAAACUCAAAGGAAUUGACGGGGGCCCGCACAAGCAGUGGAGUAUGUGGUUUAAUUCGACGCAACGCGAAGAACCUUACCAAGUCUUGACAUCCUGCGACGAUGCUGGAAACAGUAUUUUCCUUCGGGACGCAGAGACAGGUGGUGCAUGGUUGUCGUCAGCUCGUGUCGUGAGAUGUUGGGUUAAGUCCCGCAACGAGCGCAACCCUUACUGUCAGUUACUACGCAAGAGGACUCUGGCAGGACUGCCGUUGACAAAACGGAGGAAGGUGGGGAUGACGUCAAAUCAUCAUGCCCUUUAUGACUUGGGCUACACACGUACUACAAUGGCGUUAAACAAAGAGAAGCAAGACCGCGAGGUGGAGCAAAACUCAGAAACAAGUCCCAGUUCGGACUGUAGGCUGCAACUCGCCUGCACGAAGUCGGAAUUGCUAGUAAUCGUGGAUCAGCAUGCCACGGUGAAUACGUUCCCGGGCCUUGUACACACCGCCCG
This 1355-nucleotide ribosomal RNA is filed under the name uncultured bacterium. RNAcentral describes it as "bacterial SSU rRNA". It matches the Rfam family "Bacterial small subunit ribosomal RNA", at positions 18 to 1396 of the family's 1533-position model. The record is from RNAcentral.